Molecule: unclassified non-coding RNA, 320 nt
Filed under: uncultured Alteromonadaceae bacterium
Lineage: Bacteria; Pseudomonadati; Pseudomonadota; Gammaproteobacteria; Alteromonadales; Alteromonadaceae
Description: partial 16S-23S ribosomal RNA intergenic spacer
Source: RNAcentral
CCUCCUUUCUAACGGGAACCCGCAGAGGUCUCGGUUCUUACAAUCGAGAGCACCCUCUGCCAAAAAAUGGCUCACUGUCUGGUUGUCUGAGUUCACCAGGGGCUCAGUGUUUUUUUAUAGGGAUCGGCGCAUUGACAAAAUCGCUGUUUCUUUCCUAAAUUACGAGUUUGGUCCUAGCGACCAAAGUGCACCCGUUUUAGGGUGUUGUGGGAUCUUUGAAAAUUCGGAAAACAUGGGCAAAACUACAUCAAGUUUUGAGCAGAAUUUCUUGUGCAACAAGAAAUUCUAGGUCAAGCUACUAAGGGUGUACGGUGGAUGCA